AGCGAACGCUGGCGGCAGGCCUAACACAUGCAAGUCGAGCGCCCCGCAAGGGGAGCGGCAGACGGGAGAGUAACACGUGGGAACGUACCCUUCAGUUCGGAACAACCCAGGGAAACUUGGGCUAAUACCGGAUACGUCCGGAAGGAGAAAGAUUUAUCGCUGAAGGAUCGGCCCGCGUCUGAUUAGCUAGUUGGUGAGGUAACGGCUCACCAAGGCGACGACCAGUAGCUGGUCUGAGAGGAUGAUCAGCAUCACUGGGACUGAGACACGGCCCAGACUCCUAAGGGAGGCGGCAGUGGGGAAUAUUGGACAAUGGGCGCAAGCCUGAUCCGGCCAUGCCGCGUGGAUGAUGAAGGCCCUAGGGUUGUAAAGUCCUUUCGGCGGGGAAGAUAACGACGUUACCCGCAGAAGAAGCACCGGCUAACUCCGUGCCAGCAGCCGCCGUAA
RNAcentral lists this ribosomal RNA (447 nucleotides) under uncultured bacterium. RNAcentral describes it as "partial 16S ribosomal RNA". It matches the Rfam family "Bacterial small subunit ribosomal RNA", at positions 29 to 523 of the family's 1533-position model. The record is from RNAcentral.